AGCACAGAGUUUGGGAACUCAUUUCUAGCAUAUCUUUGCCACAGGAAGAGCCACACUGUCUUGUUUUUAAUCCAGAGGAGAGCAGGCUUUUGGAGAGUCAAUGAAUACAGCAAACUGCAACGAGAGUAUUCAUUUCAGUAAUGUGUAAUGGCAUUCAGAGGAGGCCAUGGGCAGUGAUCCCAGCAGGAGCCCAGGGCAGCAGAUUUAAAGGGGAAAACUGCAUCCUAGGUUCUCUUUGCCUGCAACAUCAUGUGAACCAUGUGAAUCAAACGUGGAUGCAAGUAGCACCAAUCUCACAUCUCUCCUCAUAGGGCUUGGUUUCCAGUCCCCUGAUCAUCUUUGUUGCCCUCCUCUGAACCCAUUCCAGUUUGUCUGCAUCCUUCUUGAAGUGCGGAGACCAGAACUGGACGCAGUAUUCAAGAUGAGGCCUAACCAGUGCUGAAUAGAGGGGAACUAGUAUGUCACGUGAUUUGGAAACUAUACUUUUGUUAAUGUAGCCUAAUAUAGCAUUUGCCUUUUUUGCAGCCACAUUGCACUGCUGGCUCAUAUUCAGCUUGUGAUCAACAACAAUUCCAAGAUCCUUCUCACAUGUCGUACUACUGAGCCAAGUAUCCCCCAUCUUAUAAUUGUACAUUUUGUUUCUUUUUCCUAAGUGUAGAACUUUGCAUUUAUCCCUGUUGAAUUUCAUUCUGUUGUUUUCAGCCCAAUGCUCCAGCCUAUCAAGGUCCCUUUGAAUUUUGUUUCUGUCUUCCGUGGUAUUAGCUAUGCCCCCCAAUUUUGUAUCAUCUGCAUAUUUGGUAAGCAUGCUUUGUAUGUCCCCAUCCAAGUCCUUUAUGACCCGGGUGUUAUCCUUGCAGCCUUUGCAAAGACAUUUCUGACAAGCAACAUGCUUUGUCCAAAUAAACAGUGGCUAAUAAUAGCACACUCACAGUCCCCAAGGCAGACUCUGGGCCUCACUGGGAAUCCCACGGACAACUGCCAGCACCAGAGAGGUGGAGGAGGUGGUAUCUCUCUCCAUCCCCACAGACUCCAAAAGCAGACUUUGCUCCAAAAGCAGAAUCACAAAAGCACUUUAAACAAUCAUGGCUCCCCCCCCCCAAAGAAUCCUAGGACUGUAGUUUGUGAAGGGUGCUGAGAGCUGUUAGGAGACCCCCUAUUCCCCUCACAGAGCUACAAUUCCCAGAGUUCCCUGGGAAGAGGGACUGAUUGUUAAACCACUCUGAGAAGUGUAGCUCUGUGAGGGGAAGAACUGGCAACCUGACCACAUAUGCCAUUUCCUUUAAAAGAAUCAACUUCAUUCCUAACUGCUAAUUCUCUGCCCACACAGUAAGUUUUAUGUUGCUUUCAGAUACAGCUGUUAGCUUGGAAGACUGUGUUAUUAACAAUGAUUGCAGUUGCACAGGCUCUGUGCUUAUCUCACACAUUUGAGCUUUUCAUGGGAAUGUGACAGAUGGUAUACCUCAUUUCAUGGCUACUGGUUACACUUUUUCCCUAACUAGGGGGGGGCAGGCAAAUAGCACUUUGUGCAUCUGAUGAAGCGAGUUCCAGUCCACAAGAGUUUCUGCUUGUUAGUCUUUGGGUGCCAUAAGAGUCUUUGUCCUUUUAGCUGCAAUAGACUGAUGCUAUUUAGCUCAAUGUGACUCAGUAGGUUUAUCCUCAAAAUAUACAAUGUCAUACAGAGCCCCAGCAGGGUGGAGCCAGCAUUUUCCAGUGUCGAGUUUUGCUUUGUGAUUUAGGGAGUUCCCCACCACCACCUAUGUCCAAGUUCUUCUGCCAUCACCCCCUAUUUCCACCCCAGUGAGACACACCAAGAUCAGAGAAUUCUCUGGGGCGACUAUGACAGAAGCGAAAUGAUGCAUCAACGGUCAUAAGUCAAGAUGUCAACAGAAAGGAAGCCCAGUCCUAGGGCAUGUUUGGUCUCUGGGGAGGCUGCUACAUGGAUCUCUCCCAGGACACAGAUGAAAUGAACAAAACAAGUUUUCAUGAUGAUCAUCACAAAAGAAUCCCUCCCCCUCCCCCUCCAUUUUCUUCCCAUGUUCUUCCAAUAUAUAGCCUUGUUCCAGUGCUGUUCAGCAGGCACAAAAGGACAAAAACAAAACCUCCAGCUUGGCCCUGCCAUUCCAGACUGCAGCAUUUUAGCCCUGCUCACUUGAGUAGAGCUUACAGACUAUUGUUAUCAUCUACCAGAGGUUCAUUUUAAGCUGAGCUAAGAUACUGGCAGAAUUUUUAAUAAAGCAAACCGCACACGUGUGCAGCUGACAUUUCACAAAGA
Long non-coding RNA from Rhineura floridana, 2272 nucleotides. RefSeq lists it as uncharacterized. The record is from RefSeq and is a predicted model, not a curated record. Lineage: Eukaryota; Metazoa; Chordata; Lepidosauria; Squamata; Rhineuridae. The transcript has 3 exons.